GAUGAAGAACGUAGCGAAAUGCGAUAAGUAAUGUGAAUUGCAGAAUUCAGUGAAUCAUCGAAUCUUUGAACGCACAUUGCGCCCGCCAGUAUUCUGGCGGGCAUGCCUGUUCGAGCGUCAUUUCAACCAUCAAGCCCCCGGCUUGUGUUGGGGACCUGCGGCUGCCGCAGGCCCUGAAAACCAGUGGCGGGCUCGCUAGUCACUCCGAGCGUAGUAAUACAUCUCGCUCAGGGCGUGCUGCGGGUUCCGGCCGUUAAAAAGCCUUAUUUACCCAAGGUUGACCUCGGAUCAGGUAGGAAGACCCGCUGAACUUAAGCAUAUCAAAAGCGAGGA
Molecule: unclassified non-coding RNA, 333 nt
Filed under: soil metagenome
Description: partial contains 5.8S ribosomal RNA, internal transcribed spacer 2, and large subunit ribosomal RNA
Rfam family: 5.8S ribosomal RNA (bases 1-120)
Source: RNAcentral